UAGGGAAUCUUCGGCAAUGGACGGAAGUCUGACCGAGCAACGCCGCGUGAGUGAAGAAGGUUUUCGGAUCGUAAAGCUCUGUUGUAAGAGAAGAACGAGUGUGAGAGUGGAAAGUUCACACUGUGACGGUAUCUUACCAGAAAGGGACGGCUAACUACGUGCCAGCAGCCGCGGUAAUACGUAGGUCCCGAGCGUUGUCCGGAUUUAUUGGGCGUAAAGCGAGCGCAGGCGGUUAGAUAAGUCUGAAGUUAAAGGCUGUGGCUUAACCAUAGUACGCUUUGGAAACUGUUUAACUUGAGUGCAAGAGGGGAGAGUGGAAUUCCAUGUGUAGCGGUGAAAUGCGUAGGUAUAUGGAGGAACACCGGUGGCGAAAGCGGCUCUCUGGCUUGUAACUGACGCUGAGGCUCGAAAGCGUGGGGAGCAAACAGGAUUAGAUACCCUGGUAGUCCACGCCGUAAACGAUGAGUGCUAGGUGUUAGACCCUUUCCGGGGUUUAGUGCCGCAGCUAACGCAUUAAGCACUCCGCCUGGGGAGUACGACCGCAAGGUUG
This 550-nucleotide ribosomal RNA is filed under the name uncultured bacterium. Its description in RNAcentral is "bacterial SSU rRNA". It matches the Rfam family "Bacterial small subunit ribosomal RNA", at positions 355 to 896 of the family's 1533-position model. The record is from RNAcentral.